Molecule: long non-coding RNA, 5341 nt
Organism: Centrocercus urophasianus (Greater sage-grouse)
Lineage: Eukaryota; Metazoa; Chordata; Aves; Galliformes; Phasianidae
Exons: 3
Source: RefSeq, a predicted model, not a curated record
CUUAGAGGUCUUUUCCAACCUUUAUGUUUCUAUGAUUCUAUGAUUCUGCGUGCUGCCCUUUAGAAUCUUGACCUCUUCUUUUGCUUUUAUCAGGACUUUGAUCUGACUUCUCUUUGGCACCAGAAAGGCAGAAAACAACAAACUCGUACGUACUUUACAUGCUGCUUUUGCUUGCUGCAUUCUCAUCUCCUGGAAGAUGUUGCAAUUGGGUUCAGCUAAGCAGGGGAUAUUGUUUCCAACAGUUGAGACUGAACACUCUUCAGUUUCCUUGAAACUUUCCAAGCAAAUGUGGCCAAAUGGUCAGCCAGUCAGUGCUCUGGAGGGCUUAGAGCAGUGGAAAUUUCAGCGAUGCUGUUGACAUCUCCAGCAGAGCUAUGUAAACAUGGCAGAGCAGUGCUUCAUUGGCUGUUUCCAAGCCAGGGAAAGGUGAUGUCUCUGCUCUGGGAAUGAAUCACAGCAAAGACCAGGGACCUUUUUGGGUUCUCAUUUCCAUCCGCCUUGGGAACAAGGAGUCAGCCACCUGCAGCACGCACAUCAGCACCCCCUUCUCUCUCCCCAGGGCAUUCUGUGGGCUGGAAACCUCUUUGGGAACCCCGUGCAGAGACAGAAUGGAGUGUGGCCAGCACUGCAACCUCUGGCAUGUCUCUUCCCAGACAGCACGUCCUGAGCACAAACCCUGACUGCCCAGCUGCAGGCAGACAUCACAGUCUGGCUUCCUCCUUCAGCUGGGGGUAAAGGUUAAGAAGCAGAUGGGUUGUUUUGUAAUCUUGUUACAGUAAUGACUCCAUUACACAAACGAUCACUUGCUACUUCUUUUCCAGCAAUUCUUCAAAGAAACUGCAUCCAGAUAUUCUGCCUGCAACGUUUAAUUACUGCAGCUCCUCUUACUUAGAGAUGCUGAAAACAGCUGGCUGCCUGUCAGAAUCACCCCACCUCAACUCCUAGACCAGCCCACAGCUGGAAGUGACAUUCCCAUCUCCCAGGACUGUUAUUUUCUCCUGAUAAUCCAUGGGAAACACGAGGGCUCUUUGAAAGCUGUACUCGCAUGCUCACCUGGUGUGCUCAGGCCAUAGGAAGAAGGAAGGGGUAAUUCAGAGAGGGGCUGUGGCUCCAGCCUGGUGCCAUGCUGCCUUUAAGCACUGUGCUUCAGAAGGCACUCAUUUUGCAUUGUCUCUGUGUUUCCACGUGUCUGAUAAGGGAACCUGCUCUCACGUGGCAGCACGUGGAGGCUGGGGUGCUGACAAACGCUGUUAUGCCUCCAUUUCUCCAGGGAAGGAAGAAUAAAGCAGACAAUUUCGGAUUUAUCAGAUCGCUUCAGAGGAUUCAAUAGUGCACGAUGUGAAAAUAAUCUCAGUGAAAAUAAUAGCAGGCCUCCUCGUUUUAAAUAUGCAAUUGUCCUUCAGAUUUUGAGAAGCUCAAAAUACUUGUCCCUGAGUGAUCUCCUUAUCAGUCAUUGCUUCAGACACAUCCAUCUAGUUCCCCAAAACUCCCUUCUGAAACAGGUCUGCUUUUCCUUAUGGGCAAAACCCUGAUUUUUUCCCUGUGCUUUCUCCUGCAAGGUCAGCCCUGAGGAUUUAAAUCACUUCUCGUUUUGAAAAGAGCAUGGACAUUACACCAGCAGCCAAAGGCUUUCUCUGCUCCCCAUCCAUGGGAAGAAUUGACAGUGGUGACUACAGGGUGAGUGAGAUGUCAUUCUACUGUCUGAGCCUGCUGGCAUGCUUCUGAAAUUCCUUCUGUGUGGAAAGUCUGUGCUGUGGAAGAGAGCAGCCUCAGUCCUUGGAGCAUGGACUCUUCCAGAGAACUGCCAUGGAACUCGCAGAGAACUCUGGGACUGCAUGACCUCGAGUGCAUAGGGAAAGAAGAGGGAAAUACUACCUAUUUGCUGAAGAGCCAGAUCAGGGACUAGUGGCGUAUAAAGACGAGGGAAGGAGGGCAGGAUGGAAAGAUUUAUGUUCUUGGUGGUGUUUCUUAUCAGAGACCGGGAGCUGUCUGAGGCUGUCAUCUAGUCCUGAUCUCUCUGAUUCAAGAGGGCCCUGGUAGGGAGCUCUCUUAUCACUGGAGGAUGGUUUCAUAUGGUUCAGUCUCUGAGUUAUCAGCACUCAUGCUAAUUCCUGUGGCUCCAGAACUGGUCUGGCAGCAAAGAAGGGCCACAGAUCAGACCCUGUAUCUAAACGGGAAGGAGACUUCUGAGGAGGUUUCUUUAAUGUGACACAGGUUGCUGUAUGACAAACAACAGGAAACAUGAAUGUUGUCACAGAUUUGUAAUGUUCCAAAGCCUCAGCCAAGAAGGAGAGACUGAUCUCACACAUCCUGUGCCCCAGGUGAGCAGUGCUGCCCCGGCUCAAGGGCUUUCCUCAUCCUCAGGUUGAAACUGAUACAGCAGGCAGGGAGUGUGAGGAAUCUGCCGCAGGAGAUGGGAAGAACAGAAGGAGCAAACAACCCUCAACUUGUUUACAGAGCCAUUAUUCUGUUCACAGGCUUCUCAGCUGUGAGUUUAUUCCUAAAAGUCAUAGAUGUGGAAGCACUUUGUCAAAGCAUUGAUGCAGCAAAUGUGGACGCAGGAGGACAGGAAGGCAAUCUAGCAGUGCUGAGUGCAGGUGGAAGCAGUGUGGGCUGCCUGGUUGCACUGAGGGCACUCGCAUAUGCUCACAGCGCGUGUGCCAUCCCUGAGGGUUUUUCAGCAAGAACAGAGCAGGUGCUGCUAGAGCAGGGCAGUCAGCCUUGUCACUUAGGAAAUUCACCCUGUGACAGUAUGAGACAAGAAAAAUCCUUGUGGCAGCUGCGCCAGCAAGCUUCUCUAUCCAACAUCAUUGCUGGAAAAAGUGGUUUUUUUUUUUCCUCAACUACCAUUUGAGAACUUUCUGCAAGAAUAAACUAAACCUACUUGAAGGAGCUGUGUUGUCAUUGCUACAUUCGCAGCCUUAAAGCACGAUCCCAGCGGUGCCCCACUGAAGCAAGAAAGCAAUUCCGCAGAAAACUAUGCCUGCCAAAAAAAUGAUUUGUUCAAAGCACUUGGCUUCGAAUAGAUGCAUAAAUGCUUCCCUGAAAUUUGGAUUGUAAUUGAGGAGCAAUAUGCUCGACAGAACAUGCCUAAUGAACAGGCAUCAAAAUUUACGACCAUAGAGGGGUAGCAGUAAUGGGUUAUGCAGGAGAUCAGUCCUACAUUUCUAGUCAAAGUGAGAACUGCCAGCAGCCUGUGGUAAAGAAGAAGUCUUUUUUCAAUCUCACCUCCUCUUUUAACAUCCUUCAUCAAAGAAGCAUACAGGCAUGACCUCCAAAUGUAAACUAAUGAGAUGUCAGCACACGUACGGUGGUGGUAGCAGAGCAGAACUGUGUAGUUUCAGUGGACCUAGAGGUCUGUACAAACAUGGGAGUUUUCCAAAUGCUGUAAUGCCUUUUCUACCUACUCGCCGGAUAAUUCUGUAGCAAAGAGGAACAGUCCCACCGCUACAGCAAAAAGUUGUUUCAUAUCUCCUUGUUUUUGUACUAGAGAUUCCCCUGAUUUACAUGAAGAAAAGGAAGUGGGCUAUCUGCAAGAAGUGAAGUCAUCUUGCUAGAGGGUUAGGGCUGGAGCAGCCCUUGCCAUAUCUUUGGAAGGAUACCAUUCUUCAUGCUUUGUUUUUAGGAACUGUCAAGAGAAAGGAAGCGUAGUGAGCAAAGAGCUAUUUUGAGUGAUAAUCAUGCUCUGGCAGUGGCUUACAUGGUUAUAUCUUAAUAGAUCUCUUCCACUUUGGUCUCUACAUGCACAGCUGUGCCUCUGUAUCCUGCCUGCGGAGACCAGCUUGAAGCCUGGGGAUUUCUGUAUGUGAGCUGUAAAUACAUUCACAUCUUCACGUAGCAGUUGCACCUACUAUAGAAUCAUUCAGCUUGGAAAGACCACUAAGGUCAUCCAGUCCAACCAUCAACCCAUGCCUACGAUUGCUGUAGACCAUGUCACCCAGUGUGGUAUCUCCCAUUUUAACACCUCCAGGUAUGGUAACUCCACCACCUUCUGAGCAGCUGUGCCAAUAUCUCACCAGAGAUCCCAUCCAAACCCUGCAGUUCUGUGAUUCUGUGACCUGGGGAAUCACGUGUGAAAAAUACAGCACACGUAACAACGCUGCCAUGGCUGAACAAACUCCUGCUCUUCGCAGUUGAAAACGUCAGCUUUUGGUGGAUGCUCAUGAAAGUACAGAACGAGUCAGGAAUGAAGGUGCAUCAAACAAAGGGCUUUUAUCUAUUUAUUUAUUUUGCUUUAAGAUCCGAAGUGAUUUUAAAAACAAGCUAUUGAUAAACUUCAUCAUUAGAAGAUAUCAAAGCCAUCUGCUGAAGGAGAAAGCUGCUGAGAACAAUAGGUUUUCAAGUUUGUACCUUGAUUUUUACAGUCACUUACAUAAAAUUGACAUAUAUAUAUGUACGGUGCCAAUAAAUACACAAAAUAUUUCCAGUGCCUUUUUGACUUUUUAAUACAAAAACCUACAGACAAUGGAAGAACAUAGCUUGAUUUGUGCAACAAUGAGGGAUUCUGGAAGCAAGUUUAGUUCAUAAUUCUGAAAAAACAUCCCACCGAAACAUUCCGGAUUUAGGGCACUUGAUAAUGUUGUAUAUAAGCUGGUGCUCCUGCUACUUCUAAGGCAAAACAAACUUGUAACUGCUGCUGUUGACAAACUUGGCUCCUGCUUUCCACUUUUGAAGAGAUUCUUAUCUGUCUUUGGCAUCAUGGAGCCCUAAUUUUCUUCGAGAACCUGUCUGACAACAGCUGAGUGUGCUAGAGAACACAGCCCUCAUUCAGCUGCUCGUUGAUGAGCUGGAAAGUGUAUAUAACCCAUGCUGUUCCUGGGGGUGCAGACUGCCUCCACUUUGUGCUCCAUCCUGCGAGGUGCUGAAGAGACAAAGUCUCCAAACCCUGCCAGAGUGAACUCAGAUCUCCCCAAAAGCUGGAAGUACUGUGAUACAGAACAUGUCCCCAGCCUGGAAAAGGGAUCUUUGUACAUGAACAAAGCUGGCAUGAACUUUGUGCAUGAACAAAUAGUUUCAGCUGGUGGUUGGGCAUCUCAGGAAGUUAAACCACCAUGGGUAAUGUCUUGCUCUCCAGGAAGAACUUAAUGGUGUAGCAAAUUCAUCAUUUGAAGAUAAGGUUCUUCCUUCCAUCAAGAUACAUGUCUACGUACAUAGCUGCCCUAUGUUCUACUCAGGCAGCAAGUGUUUGGGCAGCUUAAGUGCAAUGCUGUGUAUCUGCUGCAGGCGGCUGCUGCUGUUAACAAAUAUCUCAAUAAUAAUAAAAAGCUUUUAACUUGAGAUAACAAUUGUAUUAAAAUAAAAUAAAAAAAAUCUUCUUUGAUGUGGAUGUUCCACAGGAGAA